AGUCGUACCAAGGUUCCCGUAGGUGACCCUGCGGAAGGAUCAUUAAAGAAAUUUAAUAAUUUUGAAAAUGGAUUUUUUUUGUUUUGGCAAGAGCAUGAGAGCUUUUACUGGGCAAGAAGACAAGAGAUGGAGAGUCCAGCCGGGCCUGCGCUUAAGUGCGCGGUCUUGCUAGGCUUGUAAGUUUCUUUCUUGCUAUUCCAAACGGUGAGAGAUUUCUGUGCUUUUGUUAUAGGACAAUUAAAACCGUUUCAAUACAACACACUGUGGAGUUUUCAUAUCUUUGCAACUUUUUCUUUGGGCAUUCGAGCAAUCGGGGCCCAGAGGUAACAAACACAAACAAUUUUAUCUAUUCAUUAAAUUUUUGUCAAAAACAAGAAUUUUCGUAACUGGAAAUUUUAAAAUAUUAAAAACUUUCAACAACGGAUCUCUUGGUUCUCGCAUCGAUGAAGAACGCAGCGAAAUGCGAUACGUAAUGUGAAUUGCAGAAUUCCGUGAAUCAUCGAAUCUUUGAACGCACAUUGCGCCCCUUGGUAUUCCAGGGGGCAUGCCUGUUUGAGCGUCAUUUCCUUCUCAAACAUUCUGUUUGGUAGUGAGUGAUACUCUUUGGAGUUAACUUGAAAUUGCUGGCCUUUUCAUUGGAUGUUUUUUUUCCAAAGAGAGGUUUCUCUGCGUGCUUGAGGUAUAAUGCAAGUACGGUCGUUUUAGGUUUUACCAACUGCGGCUAAUCUUUUUUUAUACUGAGCGUAUUGGAACGUUAUCGAUAAGAAGAGAGCGUCUAGGCGAACAAUGUUCUUAAAGUUUGACCUCAAAUCAGGUAGGAGUACCCGCUGAACUUAAGCAUAUCUAAAAGUCG
RNAcentral lists this ribosomal RNA (853 nucleotides) under uncultured fungus. Its description in RNAcentral is "eukaryotic LSU rRNA". The stretch from base 409 to 562 matches the Rfam family "5.8S ribosomal RNA". The record is from RNAcentral. Lineage: Eukaryota; Fungi.